Molecule: long non-coding RNA, 450 nt
Filed under: Erythranthe guttata (spotted monkey flower)
Lineage: Eukaryota; Viridiplantae; Streptophyta; Magnoliopsida; Lamiales; Phrymaceae
Description: long non-coding RNA (EGUT_LNC001241)
Source: RNAcentral
CCAAUCCACCACCAACAAUGGCAGCCACCUUAUCCCUCCUCUCCCCCGCCUCCACCGCCUCCCUCCGCCGCCAAAUUCCGACGUCCAGUCGCAUCCACCUCCGCACCGCCCCAUCCAAGUUCUCUAUCAAGGCCUUCUCCGCCCCAGUCCUCACACAGGACGACCUAAAAAAACUCGCCGCCGACAAGGCCGUCGAGUAUGUCAAAAGCGGCAUGGUCCUCGGACUCGGAACCGGAUCCACCGCCGCCUUCGUCGUCGAUAAGAUCGGCGCACUCCUCAAAUCCGGCGAACUCACUGAUAUCGUCGGAGUGCCCACAUCCAAGCGCACCCAGGAGCAGGCCUUCGCACUAGGUAUCCCGCUAUCCACCCUCGACGCACACCCUCACCUCGACCUCGCAAUCGACGGCGCCGAUGAGGUGGACCCCAAUCUCGACCUGGUGAAGGGCCGCG